GACGAACGCUGGCGGCGUGCCUAAUACAUGCAAGUCGAACGCUGAAGGAGGAGCUUGCUUCUCUGGAUGAGUUGCGAACGGGUGAGUAACGCGUAGGUAACCUGCCUGGUAGCGGGGGAUAACUAUUGGAAACGAUAGCUAAUACCGCAUAAGAGUAGAUGUCGCAUGACAUUUGCUUAAAAGGUGCAAUUGCAUCACUACCAGAUGGACCUGCGUUGUAUUAGCUAGUUGGUGAGGGAACGGCCCCACAAGGCAACGAUGCAUAGCCGCCCAGGGAGGGGGGUCGGCCCAACUGGGACUGGGACACCGCCCAGAAUCCUACGGGAGGGAGCAGUAGGGAAUCUUCGGGAAAUGACGGAAGUCUGACCGAGGAACGGCGGGUUGAGGAAGAAGGUUCUCGGAUCGGAAAGCCCCGUUGUUAGGGAAGAACGAGUGUGGGAGUGGAAAGUUCACACUGUGACGGUAUCUAACCAGAAAGGGACGGCUAACUACGUG
RNAcentral lists this ribosomal RNA (495 nucleotides) under uncultured bacterium. RNAcentral's name for it is "partial 16S ribosomal RNA". It matches the Rfam family "Bacterial small subunit ribosomal RNA", at positions 28 to 507 of the family's 1533-position model. The record is from RNAcentral.